AAUGUACUCCCUCCGUCGCAAAAUUCUUGUCUUAGGUUUAUCUGAAAAUGGAUGUAUCAAAAUACUAAAACGUGACUACAUACAUUUAUAUCUACACAAAUGAAAGACAAGAAUUUUAGGAAGGAGGGAGUAUGUU
This is a non-coding RNA of Hordeum vulgare subsp. vulgare (domesticated barley), 136 nucleotides long. The record is from Rfam. Lineage: Eukaryota; Viridiplantae; Streptophyta; Magnoliopsida; Poales; Poaceae.